Oncorhynchus tshawytscha (Chinook salmon) is the source of this 585-nucleotide long non-coding RNA. Lineage: Eukaryota; Metazoa; Chordata; Actinopteri; Salmoniformes; Salmonidae. The record is from Ensembl.
AGUGGAGGUUUAGUGGAGGUUUAGUGGAGGUUUAGUGGAGGUUCAGUGGAGGUUCAGUGGAGAUUUAGUGGAGGUUUAGUGGAGGUUUAGUGGAGGUUUAGUGGAGCUUCAGUGGAGGUUUAGUGGAGGUUUAGUGGAGCUUUAGUGGAGGUUUAGUGGAGGUUUAGUGGAGGUUUAGUGGAGAUUGAAAGACAGUGGAGGUUUAGUGGAGGUUUAGUGGAGGUUUAGUGGAGGUUUAGUGGAGGUUUAGUGGAGAUUUAGUGGAGGUUUAGUGGAGGUUUAGUGGAGGUUUAGUAUAGGUUCAGUGGAGGUUUAGUGGAGGUUUAGUGGAGAAUUAGUGGAGGUUUAGUGGAGAUUUAGUGGAGAUUUAGUGGAGGUUUAGUGGAGUUUUAGUGGAGAUUUAGUGGAGGUUUAGUAUAGGUUUAGUGGAGGUUUAGUGGAGGUUUAGUGGAGGUUCAGUGGAGGUUUAGUAUAGGUUUAGUGGAGAUUUAGUGGAGGUUUAGUGGAGGUUUAGUGGAGGUUUAGUGGAGAUUUAGUGGAGGUUUUGUGGAGGUUUAGUGGAGGUUUAGUGGAGGUUCAGUGGAG